Molecule: ribosomal RNA, 253 nt
Filed under: uncultured bacterium
Lineage: Bacteria
Description: partial 16S ribosomal RNA
Rfam family: Bacterial small subunit ribosomal RNA
Source: RNAcentral
UACGAAGGGGGCUAGCGUUGCUCGGAAUCACUGGGCGUAAAGGGUGCGUAGGCGGGUUUUUAAGUCAGAGGUGAAAUCCUGGAGCUCAACUCCAGAACUGCCUUUGAUACUGAAAGUCUUGAGUAUGGGAGAGGUGAGUGGAACUGCGAGUGCAGAGGUGAAAUUCGUAGAUAUUCGCAAGAACACCAGUGGCGAAGGCGGCUCACUGGCCCAUAACUGACGCUGAGGCACGAAAGCGUGGGGAGCAAACAGG